AUUGAACGCUGGCGGCAGGCUUAACACAUGCAAGUCGAGCGGGGUGAUGGUGCUUGCACUAUCACUUAGCGGCGGACGGGUGAGUAAUGCUUAGGAAUCUGCCUAUUAGUGGGGGACAACAUCUCGAAAGGGAUGCUAAUACCGCAUACGUCCUACGGGAGAAAGCAGGGGAUCACUUGUGACCUUGCGCUAAUAGAUGAGCCUAAGUCGGAUUAGCUAGUUGGUGGGGUAAAGGCCUACCAAGGCGACGAUCUGUAGCGGGUCUGAGAGGAGGAUGAGCCACACUGGGACUGAGACACGGCCCAGACUCCUACGGGAGGGAGCAGUGGGGAAUAUUGGAAAAUGGGGGGAAUCCUGAUCCAGCCAUGCCGCGUGUGUGAAGAAGGCCUUCGGGUUGUAAACCACUUUUGUCAGGGAAGAAACGGCUCUUACUAAUAUUAGGAGCUAAUGACGGUACCUGAAGAAUAAGCACCGGCUAACUACGUGCCAGCAGCCGCGGUAA
RNAcentral lists this ribosomal RNA (502 nucleotides) under uncultured bacterium. Its description in RNAcentral is "partial 16S ribosomal RNA". It matches the Rfam family "Bacterial small subunit ribosomal RNA", at positions 30 to 523 of the family's 1533-position model. The record is from RNAcentral.